Molecule: long non-coding RNA, 1259 nt
Organism: Carassius gibelio (silver crucian carp)
Lineage: Eukaryota; Metazoa; Chordata; Actinopteri; Cypriniformes; Cyprinidae
Exons: 6
Source: RefSeq, a predicted model, not a curated record
AAUAUCGAAGCACUACGACCUUCAUUGCUUUCAAUGGGAAACUUUUGGCGUCAGAAUUCGACACGAGGACAUGAGAUGUUUAUCGCUAUGAAAUCACGUUCAAGAAGUCUCAUUCAGCACACAUCGCGAUACUUGCUAUCAGUUCCACAGUUUGGCUGAAAAGACGUAAAGGCAGUCAGCCCAGUGGUGUUUCUGGAGAGGGAUUCCUUCAGAAAUGGAGAAGACAGAAAGCUGCGGAGGCAGAUAUUUGCAGCAGUAAGUCUGUGAUAGUUUGUCCCUUUUAUCAAACAUUCCUGCUGUUAUAAUUUGUACAGCAUUUGUUGUUUCUUAAACUGUUGCACUGUCCAAAUACCCACACUUGCCAUCUUUGCACUUGACCACUUGAUUACUUAUUUGAAGUCUUUCCUGUAUUUGGCCUAGUGUUCAAGUGAGCAUGAUGACCACAAGUGUGUGUCGAACUUUUCAUGACCUGAUGACUGUGUUUCCCAAUCCUGAUCCUGGAGAACCCCAGCACUGCACGGUUUUGGUGUCUCUCUUAUCUGCCUUGGAGUCUUCACUGAUGAGCUGAUGAGUUGAAUCAGGUCUAAAAUAUCAAGCUCAACAGCUCACUCAAGAGCCAACCCUCACAAACCUUCCUAAAAACUAAAAGAGCUAUUACUGAGUCUCAGCGAAUCUUGCCAUGAUCAGCUCUUCCCAGAAGAGAAGGAAGACCAAGGAAAUGAUUUGCUCUGGAUGAGAAAUGAAGAUGGCCAUCUUAUGCUCAAACAAACAGAAGUCCUCUGAUGAUCUCAUCAGCCAAAUGAGGGGUUUUGACCAAGUGAUGCUCUUGAAAGGAGUGAAAGAAGAGGAUGUGGUAAAUUCUCUUCAGAGAAAAAGCUUCUCAAAAGGUCUCAAAACAGCUUGAAGAAUGGUCUGGGAUCUUAGGACUGAGAGAUCCUCUGGCUGAGAAAAAGCUACACCACAUCAGUGCUGGAUAUCAACCACAAACUGUUUCCAGACACGAGAGAAGAAGAACACGAUGGGGAGAUGAAACCAGUUUAGAUGUGAUGAUGGGAAUCAUUAUUUUCUGGAACAGUAUCACAUGUCUUAUAUGUAUCACAUGAUCUGUAUCACAGUUGACUGAAUGGGACUGUGUGACUUUUAAGGACAUUUCAUCACUCAUCUGUGUGAACUGAUUUAUAUAUAAGGUUAAUGUAUUUUUGAUGAUAAUUAUUUUCAUUGAAUCUUAUUUGUCUUGAUGCUACUUUAUCAACUUUAUA